This 1320-nucleotide long non-coding RNA is filed under the name Canis lupus familiaris (dog). RNAcentral's name for it is "lncRNA (ENSCAFG00030019684.1)". Lineage: Eukaryota; Metazoa; Chordata; Mammalia; Carnivora; Canidae. The record is from RNAcentral.
CGGGCAUGAUGGGAAAAUCACCUGUGAAGGAAAAAGAGUGAGAGCUAGAGAAGAAAGGAGACUCUUGAGACCACCAUGCUGGUCUAACGGGGGAAAGGAGAGAGGGGUGGAAAUGUCUCAGCCUGCAGUGAGGCCAGUCAAGAGUCCUCAGGCCAAAGUCACCCAGGGUUAGAGGCCCAUGUCUCUCAAGAAUGGACUUGAGUUAGUGCUAGAGCAUCAGCUGGGAGCAGACCGAGAGAAGCAUGGCUUUGGCAAAAACAAGGUGGCGGAACUAGUGGACGGCAGACAUUCCCCUGGAAGGAGAUUUGAGGGGGGCCUUCUCAUGGCUUCCCCAAGCUUUAUGGGCACUUCCCAUUUCAUCACAUCACAACCCAAUAAAGAUGUAUAGGCAAAGGUUAAGGCUUAAUAAAAUUAAUCAUUUUUACUGUUCAUCCCAAGAUUUCUUUUAAAGACUUUAUUUAUUUAUUCCUGAGAGACAGAGAGAGAGAGAGAGAGAGAGAGAGAGAGGCAGAGACACAGGCAGAGGGAGAAGCAGGCUCCAUGCAGGGAGCCCCACAUGGGACUCGAUUCCCCGUCUCCAGGAUCACGCCCUGGGCUGCAGGCAGCGCUAAGCCACUGCACCACCAGGGCUGCCCUAUCCCAAGAUUUCUUAAGUGCAACUGGCUUUGUGUUCCCUGCAAAUGUGUGGCAAUGAAGAGCACAGUGACUACAAGUCCGCUUUGGUGCCACUGCCUGGAUUCAGGCCAACGUGCCAGUAAUUUUACCCAGCAUUGCUUCUGCACUAUCAGUGAAAAUGUCAACUCAGAGAAAAAGGCACACGAAAUCUCGAUGUUACUAUAAAAAUGGCUUUGACCUUAUUAAUCCCCUGAAAUGAUCUCAGAGACCCCCUCAGUGAUCUCUAGACCCCACUGGGAGAACCAGAGACUUAAAGAUUGCAACCCCAGAAUUGGAGGAUGCUGGUUUUUCAUUUUUGUUUUCCGUUUUUUUCUGGAUAGUUCGGGCAAAAAUCACAGGAAAUCAAAAGAUAUUGAUUUUCACUUGGGUCACAUUCCUUCCUCUCCGGAAUCAGUCACUGUGAAGAGGAGGGUGAGGUGUUCUGAUUGGUCAGGCCUUGAUCAUGUGAACAGCUCUCCCAGCUGGAUGGGAUGUUUCUACCUGCCCAAAUCACAGCAAAUGGGUUCCCACCAGAAAGAGCAGUUCUCUCACAGGAAGAGGAGGGAAUGGUCGCUACACAGGCAACACAACCAAUCGUACAGUUCAAUAGGGAGCUGCUGGGGAAGUCCCUGGUUGACUUCGAGGGAAGUGUUUUUCACAGCGUGA